Molecule: long non-coding RNA, 1032 nt
Filed under: Monodelphis domestica (gray short-tailed opossum)
Lineage: Eukaryota; Metazoa; Chordata; Mammalia; Didelphimorphia; Didelphidae
Description: lncRNA (ENSMODG00000039918.1)
Source: RNAcentral
GCCCCUAGUAUUUGGGUGCUAUGUUCCUGGGAUGAUCCUUUCUGUUGGGCCCCUCCUUUGUCCAAACCUAGUCCAUAGGGAGAUGUUGAUAUCUAAGGAUUAAUCAGAGUAUUGAGGAACCCCCAACCCCCACUGCCACCCUCUUCUCUUUUGACAGUUGGAGUCAUAGAGGAAGUCCAAAGAGGGAAAACAGUUUGUGGAGGAUGGCCCAGCUGGUGACCCUCAGAGCCAAGAUUCUUCUUCAUUUGGCCUGUUCCCAUCCAACUCCAUUAGAUUCACACACCAAGUAGCUUAGCUACAGGAGGCCUGGGAGACAGGAGUAUUCUUGGACUCUAUGAUAGUCUCCUCAUCAGUCUGCAGAACCUCCUCACCUGUCCAGUCUGCAAAAGUUAUUACAGUAAACCUAUAACCUUGUUUAGUGGCCGCACCAUAUGUCAGGCCUGUAUUCCCCUAGGAUGCCUACCUAUCCACAUCAAGACCGACUGGAGGAUACAGAAUAUAGCAAACCUGGUCAAGGUGUUGAAACCAAGCCUGGAAGAGCCCCAACCUGUCUCAGAGGAAUGGUGUCUCAGGCAUGAUGAACCCUUCACCCUCCUCUGUGAAGAAGACAAGCAGAGAAUCUGCCGGAUCUGCAAGUUCUCCAUCCUUCACAGGGGCCAUACCUUGACCCAACUACAAGACCCAGAAGCAUGUCUGGAGGUUUCUCCAAAGAAGAGGAGGACGUAAUCCUGCUUAGACCUGUGGGCCACCACUGAAUUCUCUUCCCCCAGCCUCUCAUAGAGAAGAAUACAGGAACCACCACCAUCGAUCCUGUGUUCAGUCCACCCCCAUCCAUCCCCUCUGCUGUCCUCCCUGGAAAACAAGGCUCAGUUUCCCAUUGACAUCAUCAUGAGGAAGACAGAAUCCAGGAUGGAAGAAAUCCCUCAACUGGAGCAUCUUCCCAGCCUACAUUCUGUCAUGCCUGCCACCUGCUGGCCUAUUUGGUGACUAACCUUGAAUAAAGUUUCUUCUCUGACCUAUUGGAUAUUGUUU